AUUUAUAUAGUUUAAAUAAAACAUUACAUUUUCACUGUAAAAAUAAUAUUUUAUAUGUUUAUAAAUA
RNAcentral lists this transfer RNA (67 nucleotides) under Petamella prosternalis. RNAcentral describes it as "tRNA-Glu". Lineage: Eukaryota; Metazoa; Arthropoda; Insecta; Orthoptera; Acrididae. The record is from RNAcentral.